GGGGGGGAAGAAAAAGAAGCAUGGCUAUAAAGAGGUUCUAACACGGAAUUGUUUAAUGACUUUCUCUGUAUGGGUGAGUAAUGUUAACUUGAUAAAAUGAAUAUUAGAAAAGAAAGGCAACUUUCAUGACAUAUACAUCUAAACAACAUUUAAAUUUAAUUAGGACAGUCAUAAAGAUGCUACCAAGUUUUUCUUCAUCAAAUAUUUUGAGAAGCAAAAGUUUAUGAAAUACGGAAUUGUAUAUAAUACUCUUCUAUUAGUUGGCAUCCAAC
This 272-nucleotide long non-coding RNA is filed under the name Bos taurus (domestic cattle). Its description in RNAcentral is "long non-coding RNA NONBTAT014192". The record is from RNAcentral. Lineage: Eukaryota; Metazoa; Chordata; Mammalia; Artiodactyla; Bovidae.